UACGGAGGGGGCUAGCGUUGUUCGGAAUUACUGGGCGUAAAGCGCACGUAGGCGGAUAUUUAAGUCAGGGGUGAAAUCCCGGGGCUCAACCCCGGAACUGCCUUUGAUACUGGGUAUCUGGAGGUCGAGAGAGGCGAGUGGAAUUCCGAGUGUAGAGGUGAAAAUUCGUAGAUAUUCGCAAGAACACCAGUGGCGAAGGCGGCUCACUGGCCCGAUACUGACGCUGAGGCACGAAAGCGUGGGGAGCAAACAGG
This 254-nucleotide ribosomal RNA is filed under the name uncultured bacterium. Its description in RNAcentral is "partial 16S ribosomal RNA". It matches the Rfam family "Bacterial small subunit ribosomal RNA", at positions 524 to 776 of the family's 1533-position model. The record is from RNAcentral.